GGGGCAGAUUUUGACUUCACAACUGGUGACAUGGACACAAUCAGGACAUGGUGGUGUCUGUUGCUCCUGUCUGGUCAUUCAGUUGUCAGGUUGGCACAGAAAAGGAAAUAUGAAGAUCAAAUCGCAAGAAUCCCAUUUUGAUAGUUGUUGACGAUGUGUCCUGCAUGCUAAGGAUUAUUUAUUAUAUGAUUUGAUUCAUUUUGGACUUCAUAUGCAUACUUUUUACUGACUUUUAAAUAUUUAAAUAUCUAUUUGCACCCUGUGAUGAUUAAAUAGCCUAAUCGUUGUCUGUGUACAGAUAAUAGCAGAUAAGGAUAAGGAGGAGGCAAAGAGGCAAAGAGGCCCAGGACAAUGUGUGAAUGAAGUAAACUUGAUGCCUUGUAUACAUACCUAAUGUCAAAAUACUACAAACUGUCUACAUAAUGAAUUCUCAAAAUAAGUGUUAAAUGUGUUCAUUCAGGAACCUGUUGACCUGACCAAGGAGGGGAUUCUGGAGGUCAUCAAUG
Molecule: long non-coding RNA, 506 nt
Organism: Perca flavescens (yellow perch)
Lineage: Eukaryota; Metazoa; Chordata; Actinopteri; Perciformes; Percidae
Exons: 3
Source: RefSeq, a predicted model, not a curated record